RNAcentral lists this non-coding RNA (64 nucleotides) under Pedobacter suwonensis. The record is from RNAcentral. Lineage: Bacteria; Pseudomonadati; Bacteroidota; Sphingobacteriia; Sphingobacteriales; Sphingobacteriaceae.
ACCUAAACCUGAUCAGAGCGAAAUGCCGAUAUUUUCAUCGGCAGAAGCGGGAGCGGGACCGAAG